Molecule: non-coding RNA, 363 nt
Organism: Paramuricea clavata
Lineage: Eukaryota; Metazoa; Cnidaria; Anthozoa; Malacalcyonacea; Plexauridae
Source: the annotation of a GenBank genome assembly
UUCUGCUAAGUACUUUGGAAGGGAAUGACGGAACGCUUGAGCACAAUAUUCAAGUACAGGCCUCACUGUACAAUAAAAUUUCAAAACAUCUUCAACCUCCACACUUGCUCGUUUCAACAAUACUAUAAAUUAUACAGGCGUUUAUUUGCCUUCUUUAUACUUUCUCUGAUGUUAUCACUCCAUUGAAGUGUGCUUGACAUAACGAGUCCCAGUAUCUUUGUCUUCUUAACUACGGGCGUCUUAACAAGUACAGGAUCAAAGGGUUGUUUAACAAGUUUAAAAUCAAUUCUUAGUUCUUUACAUUUCUCAGCGUUCAGAGUUAGUCUGUUAUAGGCGUCGACCAUUUUUCGACAUCGGUGACUG